This 486-nucleotide ribosomal RNA is filed under the name uncultured bacterium. Its description in RNAcentral is "partial 16S ribosomal RNA". It matches the Rfam family "Bacterial small subunit ribosomal RNA", at positions 30 to 507 of the family's 1533-position model. The record is from RNAcentral.
AUUGAACGCUGGCGGCAUGCCUUACACAUGCAAGUCGAACGGCAGCACGGGUGCUUGCACCUGGUGGCGAGUGGCGAACGGGUGAGUAAUACAUCGGAACAUGUCCUGUAGUGGGGGAUAGCCCGGCGAAAGCCGGAUUAAUACCGCAUACGAUCUACGGAUGAAAGCGGGGGACGUUCGGGCCUCGCGCUAUAGGGUUGGCCGAUGGCUGAUUAGCUAGUUGGUGGGGUAAAGGCCUACCAAGGCGACGCUCAGUAGCUGGUCUGAGAGGACGACCAGCCACACUGGGACUGAGACACGGCCCAGACUCCUACGGGAGGCAGCAGUGGGGAAUUUUGGACAAUGGGCGAAAGCCUGAUCCAGCAAUGCCGCGUGUGUGAAGAAGGCCUUCGGGUUGUAAAGCACUUUUGUCCGGAAAGAAAUCCUUGGCCCUAAUACGGUCGGGGGAUGACGGUACCGGAAGAAUAAGCACCGGCUAACUACGUG